Molecule: long non-coding RNA, 4681 nt
Organism: Mirounga angustirostris (Northern elephant seal)
Lineage: Eukaryota; Metazoa; Chordata; Mammalia; Carnivora; Phocidae
Exons: 2
Source: RefSeq, a predicted model, not a curated record
CCCACCCCCCACCACUCCAGCAACCCUCAGUUUGUUUUCUGAGGUUAAGAGUUUCUUAUGGUUUGUCUCCCUCUCUGGUUUCAUCUUGUUUCAUUUUUCCUUCCCUUCCCCUAUGAUCCUCUGUCUUGUUUCUCAAAUUCCACAUAUCAGUGAGAUCAUAUGAUACUUGUCUUUCUCUGACUUAUUUCACUUAGCAUAAUACCCUCUAGUUCCAUCCACGUCGUCGUAAAUGGCAAGAUUUCAUUUUUUGAUGGCUGCAUAAUAUUCCAUUGUGUGUGUGUGUGUGUGUGUGUGUGUAUAUACACACACCAUAUUUUCUUUAAUCCAUUCAUCUGUUGAUGGACAUCUAGGCUUUUUCCAUAGUUUGGCUAUUGUGGACAUUGCUGCUAUAAACACGGGGGUGCACAUGCCCCUUCGGAUCACUACAUUUGUAUCUUUGGGGUAAAUACCCAGUAGUGCUAUUGCUGGGUCGUAGGGUAGCUAUAUUUUCAACUUUUCCAGAGUGGCUGCACCAGCAUGCAUUCCCACCAACAGUGUAGGAGGGUUCCCCUUUCUCCGCAUCCUCGCCAACGUCUGUCAUUUCCUGACUUACUGAUUUUAGCCAUUCUGACUGGUGUGAGGUGGUAUCUCAUUGAGGUUUUGAUUUGUAUUUCCCUGAUGCCGAGUGAUGUUGAGCACUUUUUCAUGUGUCUGUUGGCCAUUUGGAUGUCUUCUUUGGAAAAAUGUCUGUUCAUGUCUUCUGCCCAUUUCUUGAUUGGAUUGUUUUUUUGGGUGUUGAGUUUGAUAAGUUCUUUAUAGAUUUUGGAUACUAGCCCUUUAUCUGGUAUGUCAUUUGCGAAUAAGCUUAUUUUUUUUGUGAUCUCUAUAUCCAACAUGGGGCUUGAACUCAGGACCCUGAGAUCGAGUUGCAGCCUCUUCCCGCUGAGCCAGCCAGGUGCCUCCUUGCCAGCCUUUGUUUUUAAUACAUGGAAAAAGUCAGAUUUUCUAUCUUUUAAAAUAACCUCCUUUACCUCCAAAAAUGACACUACUGGUGGAAAUUAAGUAUGGAAACUGUUAAUUUAUUAUUUCUUUUCAUAAAGUGAAGACUCAACUGAUAACUGAUUUUAUCCUGGAAUUUCUUUUCAGGUGAAGAUUUACUGUUUUUCCCUUGAAAAGAUUUUAGAAGUGAGGUAAGGGAUGUUUUUCUAAAGUAUUCUUCACUUCAUCACCAUCAUCUCUAUUCUCAAGCAAGGGGGAAAGGGCCUUGCCCGAACUUCUGUCAGUGUUUGUUUCAGAGCCGACUGCCCGACCAGCUCCUGCCUGUGAGUGGCCCCAGCUUUAGUACAUGUAUCUAUAGCCAGAGGAGAGGAAAAGUAGUAUGAUCUGGAGGUGGGGGGUGUUACCUAGAACUCUUUCUCCUAUAAAAUGCUACUGCUUACAGUCCUCUUUAAAGGAGAAAUGGUAGGACCUCAUGGAAAUAAUUGUGCUGUGGGGUAGGAGCAGUUUUUCUACAGGUUUUUCCCACUUUGAUCCAAGAAUCAGGCAGUGAAUUUUAAUAUAAUAAAACUUACAUAAAAGUCUUUUGUGUAAAAAACCUGCUUAUUUUUGAAUUCUUCAUAUAUUGUUUAAUUGUUGAGUGUCCCUUAAAAUAGCCUGAUCUUUAACAAUGUUCUAACCUGAUCUGUAACAAUGCUUCACCAGAAAGGAGAAAGGAGAUUUCCUGAAUGUACACUCUGUGUCUAGAAAAGUAGUCUAUACCUUGUUUUGACCCCCCCAAACCCCAAUUACUGUUUUCAUUUAGUGAAGAAUGAGCUUGGAGAGGAUGGUUUGCCCAAUCUCACAUUACCUGGUAAGUGUUUGAACUUUUAACCCCGAGCAAUUGGACAGUCGUUGUGGCACUCAACUACAGUUUUUGCUUUCUUAUUUUGGCACUAGGAGAGGACUUCUUUUCUCUAACAGAGACAAAAGCAGAAUGGCAGGCAUGCAAAGAAUUCUCGUGGUGGUGCAGAAUUCUUCUAUUAUCUUGGUAUAAUUUCUAUAAAUUAUCUUUUCGGGAUGAAAAAGUUGGCCAAUUCUGUAUGUUCUUAGAAAAAAGAAACAUUGUCAGAUGUAGGCCAAGAAAGCACUUGACCUGCUGAAGCAGGAUUGCCCAGUGGUCUCAGACACAUUCCAUCAUUGAGUUCUUACUGUUGUUUGUGAACAGAUGGAUGCACCUCUGAAUUUGGUCAACACGCGAAGGAAAGUGAAAGGGGCUGGUAUUUGGUUCAGUGGCAAUCUAGGACCAAUAAGUAAUGACAUUCAGCCUGAUGAUAAGGGCCCAUGACUGCCAGACGUGGCUAUUCUUGCCCCAGGAACUUGGAAACCAGUAGUCACAAGUCUGUAUGAGGUAUUUACUUUAUGACGUUUAAUCCCAACUUUAUGGCCUCCAUCUUGUAUUAACGUAUUAAAUAUAUUUACAGAUAAUGUUGCUCCAUUUCACUUUCAUCCAGAUCAAGAUGACUGACAGCCUGAGGUAAUUUCCAAUUCGUUGCAGCCCACUGAGUCCCAGGACAACAUCCCUGGCUUUUAACAGAUUUUGCACAAAUUUCCUGUAUUCUUUAACAAUACCAGUAAGGUAGUGGUAUUAAUGUCAUAACCUGGCAGGCAACCUUGAAAAGAGUCUGGAUGGUAACAUAGUUAAACUGAAACGCAUACGUUCUCAGCCCAAUGUUAGAAUUUACUCCCGGUAGACCAGUGGUGUAGUUAUUCCCACGAGCAUCGUAUGGGAAUAUGCAAUCUUCUUUUCUCACUUAUGUUGUGGAGAGCUUUCAGAAUAAGCACACAUCAUUCUUAGCGUUUUUGGCUUCAUUGUAUAACUUUUCCCAUUAAUGAACAUUUGGAUUAUUCUCGUGUUUAUAAUUAUUACAAACAGUAUUGUAUGUUUUUGUAUAUAUGUCUUUAUAUUUGGUUUCUGUAGGAGGAAUUCGUAGAAGUGGAUUUGCUCAGAGAGUAUGCCUUGAAAAUGUAAAAGAUAAAACCAGUUUGAUUUCUAAGAUUCAUGUUAACUUACACUUCUACCAGUAAUGUGAAUGCUGGUGUCUUUAUACCUUAGCCAGUUCUGUAGAGGGUAUCAUCAAUUCUGGGCUUUGCCAAGCUAAUAGAGAAUGAUCGAAUUAUUUUAACUAUUGAGGGGUUAUCAUUUACUAUCUUUAUUGGUAAUUUAUUUUUUUUCCGGUGAGUUACCUGUUCAUGUUCUUCAUUCUUUUUCUAAUGGGCAUUGACUUAUUUUUUGUAUUGAUUCAUUAGGACUUUCCAUACAUGAUGGAUCUUAACCCUGUGUCUGUGAUGUACUUGGUUUUUCCCAGUCUUUGGAGUUGGUAUAUGGGGCCCAUCUCCAGCCAUAGAGGAUUUUCCUCCAUCCAGACUCAAGCCCAGCCCAGCAGAGGUCUUCAGCACUUCGACACACAGCGCAUCAUGUGAAGGUACGCUUCUCCCUGCAGCAACGACAUUCGUAAGGAUGGAAAUGACACUCAUCACCACCUCUCCAGUCCCCCAAAUGUAUUACCCCAGCGCCCCCUGAGUCCCGUCUCCCUUUGAAACCAGCGUUAGGAUUGGUCUCCCAAAUUUGGAGCUGACCUCGUGGCUAUGUUCCUGCUGUACAUGCACCAUUUGCUCUUCAAAGCAUUUUUUUUUUUUUUUAAAGAUUUAUGUAUUUAAGAGAGGGAGCACAUGCACGUGAGCAGGGGGGAGGGCCAGAGGGAGAGGGAGAAGCAGACUCCCUGCUGAGCGCAGAGCCUGAUGCGGGGCUCCAUUCCAGGAACCUGGGAUCAUGACCCGAGCUGAAAUCGGGAGCCAGACACUCAACUGACUGAGCCACACAGGCGCCCCUGAGCACUUUCUGUAAGCAUGGAGGCAGCUUUGGGGCCCAAGCAGAAACCCUCAGAGGCCAGACUGCUCUUGGCAAGCCCGUACACUGUGGUCGUGUGUCUCCGUGAAGUCACGCUUGGGGAAUCCGAUUCAAUGUCCUGCCGACCUUGAGUGCCGACGGCAGCGGAGGGUCACAGUCUGGCACUGAUAACCUGCAACACCCCAGUGCCAGGCCUCACGUGAGACUGUGAUCGUGGGUCCCGGAGCUCCGCGCCUUCCCCCUUCUGCUGCGCGUGCUCCUGCCCUUGCUGCCGUCUCUCUCCACGGGGGGGGGUGUCGGGGGCCACGUUUCCCUGGCAAUGGGUCCCCCACUGCAACAAACGCGUGCAAACUGCCCACUUGGGCUUGAGGCUAAGGUAGCUAGCAUCCCUGCCUUUGAACAGAAAGGUCCAUUAGUGUGGUUUGAAGAAGGUCACUCUACGUCCACGGGGUCUGAAGGCAAUGUGCCACAGGAAUUUCAAUAGGUGAUUUGACUUGCUGUUAAACAGGAGAACAGGCCCAUUACAGCAGCUCUCAGCUCUGGGCCAGAUUCUACUGAAAUCACCUAGGAACCUUAGAAAGCUAGUGACUCAGGGCCCUGAUUUAAUUGAGCUGGUGAAUUUGCUGGGCAGUAGGAUUUUUAAAAGCUUCCUAGGUGCCUCUGUUGUGCAGCGCACCGUGUCUGUCCUCAAGUGGGAUGCUGUCGGGGCACGUGAAGGGAUAAUUCCGUGGGUUCAGGUGGAGCCCUGGGCAGGGGAAUUUUAAGGAAUAGGACUAUGAAAAAAUUUAAGCCCUGAAAGUGCUUAUAAUUUAGUGA